UACCAAACAGCUAGCAGCCCUAAAAACACAACAAACCACCAUAACUAAACCCAAAUACACUAACCAUAACAAAACAAAAUAUUUAACCUCCAAGUAUGGAAGACAGAAAAGACUAUAUACGCAAUAGAGAAAGUACCGCAAGGGAACGCUGAAAAAGAAAUGAAAAAAAUCAGUUAAGUUAAAAAAAGCAGAGAUUAUACCUCGUACCUUUUGCAUCAUGAUUUAGCAAGCCCCCUCAAGCAAAACGUCCUUUAAGUUUGACACCCCGAAACUACGUGAGCUACUCCAAGACAGUCUACAACAGGACCAACCCGUCUCUGUGGCAAAAGAGUGGGAAGAGCUUUGAGUAGAGGUGAUAAACCUACCGAACCUAGUUAUAGCUGGUUACCUGAAAAUUGAAUUUAAGUUCAGCCUCCCAAAUUCUCCAUACAACACACCACCUUAGUUAACAAAGAACUUUGAGAGAGUUACUUAAAGGGGGAACAGCUCCUUUAAGACAAGAUACAACUUUUACCAGAAGGAUACGGCUCAUUAUAUCUAAAGGCAUUUUAUACCUGUGGGCUUAAAAGCAGCCAUCCUAACAGAAAGCGUCAAAGCUCGUAUAACACAAUCAACCUAUUAUCCUGAUAAUUAUACCCCAAUCCUCUAACCCUACCAGGUCUUCUCAUGCAUACAUGAGAGCGAUUCUGCUAAUAUGAGUAAUAAGAGAGCUACGCCUCUCUCCAGACACUAACGUACAUCAAAACGAACCCACAUCGAAAAUUAAUGGCCCCAAACAAAGAGAGCCCUGAUAAACCUAAACAGAUAACUAGAAAACUAAUCAACAUACACCAUUAACUCUACACUUAGUGUAAUAAAGGAAAGACUAAAAUAAAGAGAAGGGAAUUCAGCAAACAUAGGCUCCGCCUGUUUACCAAAAACAUCGCCUCUUGCCCCCCCCCAAUAUAAGAGGUCCCACCUGCCCCCUGACUAUAUGUUCAACGGCCACGGUAUCCUAACCGUGCAAAGGUAGCGCAAUCAUUUGUCUUCUAAUUAAAGACCUGUAUGAACGGCAUAACGAGAGCUUACCUGUCUCCUCUUUAAAGUCAAUAAAAUUGAUCUCCCCGUGCAGAAGCGAGGAUAAACACAUAAGACGAGAAGACCCUGUGGAGCUUUAGGCACUAAAAUAAUGUACACAUUACACAAACAUUCAUCUUAUUUCAAUGCCUUCGGUUGGGGCGACCAAGGAGAAUUAACCAACCCCCACGUGGAAUAGAAGUACUCCUUCUCAAACCAAGAGUUACAACUCUAACCAAUAGAACUUCUAACCAUUCAACACAAGACCCGGCAACGCCGAUCUACGAACUAAGUUACCCCAGGGAUAACAGCGCAAUCCCCUUUAAGAGCCCAUAUCGACAAGGGGGUUUACGACCUCGAUGUUGGAUCAGGACACCCCAAUGGUGCAUCCGUUAUUAAAGGUUCGUUUGUUCAACGAUUAAAGUCCUACGUGAUCUGAGUUCAGACCGGAGUAAUCCAGGUCAGUUUCUAUCUAUGUUAUACUUUUUUCUAGUACGAAAGGACCGAAAAAAGAGGGCCCAUACCUAAAGCAAGCCCUACCCCCAACCCCUGAAACAAACUAAAGCGGUAUAAGGAUAUAUCCCUACAAACCCAAGAGAUUGGUAU
This 1662-nucleotide ribosomal RNA is filed under the name Synbranchus marmoratus (marbled swamp eel). RNAcentral describes it as "16S rRNA". It matches the Rfam family "Bacterial large subunit ribosomal RNA", at positions 353 to 2830 of the family's 2925-position model. The record is from RNAcentral. Lineage: Eukaryota; Metazoa; Chordata; Actinopteri; Synbranchiformes; Synbranchidae.